This 69-nucleotide transfer RNA is filed under the name Marmota monax (woodchuck). RNAcentral describes it as "tRNA.Ala". Lineage: Eukaryota; Metazoa; Chordata; Mammalia; Rodentia; Sciuridae. The record is from RNAcentral.
GGGUGUAACUCAAUGGUAAAGCACUCGCCUAGCAUAUGUAAGGCCCUGGGUUCAAUUCCCAACACCACA